RNAcentral lists this unclassified non-coding RNA (329 nucleotides) under soil metagenome. Its description in RNAcentral is "partial contains 5.8S ribosomal RNA, internal transcribed spacer 2, and large subunit ribosomal RNA". The stretch from base 1 to 120 matches the Rfam family "5.8S ribosomal RNA", at positions 35 to 154 of the family's 154-position model. The record is from RNAcentral.
GAUGAAGAACGUAGCGAAAUGCGAUAAGUAAUGUGAAUUGCAGAAUUCAGUGAAUCAUCGAAUCUUUGAACGCACAUUGCGCCCCUUGGUAUUCCGAGGGGCAUGCCUGUUCGAGCGUCAUUAUAACCCCUCAAGCUCAGCUUGGUGUUGGGGCCUGCUGCACUGGCAGCCCUUAAAAUCAGUGGCGGCGCCAUCUGGCUCUAAGCGUAGUAAUUCUUCUCGCUAUGGAGUCCUGGUGGAUGCUUGCCAUCAACCACCAAUUUUUCUAUGGUUGACCUCGGAUCAGGUAGGGAUACCCGCUGAACUUAAGCAUAUCAAUAAGCGGAGGA